Non-coding RNA from Danio rerio (zebrafish), 2089 nucleotides. NCBI's taxonomy places the organism in Eukaryota, Metazoa, Chordata, Actinopteri, Cypriniformes, Danionidae. The record is from RefSeq and is a predicted model, not a curated record.
UUUCAUGUAUAUAUCCGUUUGGUUUGAUGUUUCGUGUUGUUUUCCUUGACUAUUUGUAUAAAGACAUGAGAAAUUAGCCUAGCUCUAGUGAACACCUGUUUUGCUUCACGUAGCUACAGCUUUGUAUAAUUGGCAAAAUUAUAAUUUAUAUGUUAUUUCACUUGCCUGUAAAACUGUAAAUUAUGGUUUUAAGUUAUUACAUUUGCCAUCUAAAUCACUUUAAAUUCACUGUCUUAGCUGCGAACAAAUGCUGCACCAGCAUCCUAAUGGACAGCCGUUAGGUUAAUCUGAAACACCUUUUUGUGACAAGACUAUAGAUCAUCUGCUGAAAUUGAUAUUUGCAAUUGUGACUCCACAAAGGUAGCUUCAAAGUAAAGAGCUCACUCCUUGCUCCCACCACAUCAAGGUCCUAUUAUUCCCUAGUCUUCUCUGUAUGUGAUAUUUUAAACUAUUGUCAGGUUUGAGCCCCCCGUCUGCCAAAGGAGCUUAUGUGCCAGAUGUUGGCUGGUUCAUUGAUUUUAAUACUAUUCAUUGUUCUUCCGGUGUCAGUUCUAUUCCUCUGAUAACUGGGAGUGGUUUGUUUGAUUUUUGUAAACGGUCAAACAUGUUUAAAAACAUAGAGGUGAUAUAAUGUUGCUCUUCAACUGUGGCUUUAUUGUUUAAUUCUUAUUUAACGUGACCUUCCUGGAGAAGUUUAGCAAAAGCAUUCCUUGUUCUUUCACCCUAUGCUUCACCACAUCAUUAGCCCCAUACUUUCACCAAGCUGCAAGUGCUUUUGGAUCUUGUCCAGUGCAAGAUUUAUAUUGAUGAGUUUUGUGUAUAGUGAUGAUGAUUAUUCCCUGCAUAAGGUAAUGAGGUGGAGCGGUUUCAAACCUAGCUGUUCCCAGCAUGGGAGUGGAUGCUAACACCUGCCUUCUCACACACACUUACACACACUCGCACACAUACACACACAAACUCCCUCUUUCUUUACUUAUUUCCAUCUCCACCUUUCUGUUUCUUUGUCACCUCAUCUUCAACCUUUUUGCACUGCUACACAUGAACACUUUCAAAUAUAAAAUUAUACAAAUAUACUUUCACCUUCACUCAUUUUGACAUACUCGCACUUACAGUCCCCUUCCUCUCUCCUAUAGGGACAAGCCAAGAUGAAUAUAACUCAUCCCAUAGGUUCACAGGAGGAGAGGGCAAACCCUGGAUGACAAAGAGUUGCAUCAGCAAUUACUGAGCGACAUGACUCCAAGAGAGGGAAGGGAGCCUGGGCAGUGCUUUAUGUGACAUCACAUCACCGUCUCUCAUCAGCACACUGACGAAUUGCGCAGUGCUCAUCUCUCCAACAGCAAGAUGCAACAGGUUCCUGCUAUCAAUAAAGGGCCGGUGGUGGUCAGCAGCGGCCAGCCGUGUCUUGCUGCACUGCAGACAAACAUGUACUAGUUGUCCAUGAUCGCAUGUGGAUCAACAAUGCUCUCUCCCUCAGGACGCAUUGACAAACAUGGGCAUUUUUGAAGAAUGAAUGUCUAAAGGUUGACAAUACUGUCAGGGGUGAGUAUAUUUAGUGGAGUAUAUUUCAAAUAAAGAUCCUCAAGUCGGAUAAAAAAGAGUUAUGUUGCUUGGGGAUAAGACCCUUGAAGUGGUCAUACAGAAUAAAAUACCACCUCAACUGAUGAAAAGCGUACCUCCUCUGAAGGGGUCAGGGUCAGUUCUGAGGACACCACACUGAUGGGCUUCUGAAUGUCUAAACGCAACAUCCAGAACCUCCUUCAGAUUAACCCGUCAUCACUUCCUCUCCUUUCUCAAAGCUGCAUCACUUCAUCACUUCAGUCUAUUCUUCCUCUCCUCCGUUCUUUCAACGCUCCUACAGUUUUCACAGGCUCCCUGGAUGACUCACAUGCGGCCCUCUGCACCACCUCUGCCCUCCCCCGUAACUCCAAAACAGAGAUACCCAGAACCUCACACUACAGGUCAGUCAGACCACCACAAUCAGCUCCUACUUAAGACCACACUCUCAUCCGGCACCUUUAAUUUUGGCUUAGUUGUACAUUUAAGCACCUGAACCGCUGUUAAUAUUUUCCAGCUACAUACACACAGUUUU